This 405-nucleotide ribosomal RNA is filed under the name uncultured bacterium. Its description in RNAcentral is "partial 16S ribosomal RNA". It matches the Rfam family "Bacterial small subunit ribosomal RNA", at positions 28 to 526 of the family's 1533-position model. The record is from RNAcentral.
GAUGAACGCUGGCGGCGUGCCUAAUACAUGCAAGUCGAGCGAAGCGGGGACGGGUGAGUAACACGUGGAUAACCUCCUAUAAGAUUGGGAUAACUUCGGGAAACCGGAGCUAAACCGGAUACUUAUAGAUGGAUCCGCGCUGCAUUAGCUUGUUGGUAAGGUAACGGCUUACCAAGGCAACGAUGCAUAGCCGACCUGAGAGGGGAGUAGGGCACACUAGAACUGAAACAAGGUCCAGACUACACUGGGAGGGAGCGGAAGGGAAUCGUCCGCAAGGGGCGAGAGGCUGACGGGACAACGCCGCGUGAGUGAAGGAGGUCUUGGGAUCGUAGAACUCUGUUAUUAGGGUAGCGGUACUUAAUCAGAAAGCCACGGCUAACUACGUGCCAGCAGCCGCGGUAAUAC